ACCACAUUACAACAUAGCUUUGUUCUAAACUUCUUUUUGUUGCUGAUCAACAAGACAUUUCUAACCCUCCGCAUGCACCUUGCCAACACCCUGCAGUGAAUGAAGUUCAUUUGGCAAAAGACAACAUCCCGUCGGUACUGAAGGCUCAAGCAAAGAGCUAUUGUAGGGGCACUAUCUUGCAUCAAGAGAAAGACCAUCGCUUUCUUUGCCUUGUCACUCAUCAUGGCUACGCAUUCUGUGAGUGUUGUCAGCAAUGGGUAAAGGGCCUCACUCCAUUCACCUGUAGUUUUCAAAA
Long non-coding RNA from Lacerta agilis (Sand lizard), 295 nucleotides. RefSeq lists it as uncharacterized. Lineage: Eukaryota; Metazoa; Chordata; Lepidosauria; Squamata; Lacertidae. The record is from RefSeq and is a predicted model, not a curated record. The transcript is spliced from 2 exons.